This 252-nucleotide ribosomal RNA is filed under the name uncultured microorganism. Its description in RNAcentral is "partial 16S ribosomal RNA". It matches the Rfam family "Bacterial small subunit ribosomal RNA", at positions 524 to 776 of the family's 1533-position model. The record is from RNAcentral.
UACGUAGGUCCCGAGCGUUGUCCGGAUUUAUUGGGCGUAAAGCGAGCGCAGGUGGUUUAUUAAGUCUGGUGUAAAAGGCAGUGGCUCAACCAUUGUGUGCAUUGGAAACUGUUAGACUUGAGUGCAGUAGAGGAGAGUGGAAUUCCAUGUGUAGCGGUGAAAUGCGUAGAUAUCGGGAGGAACACCAGUGGCGAAGGCGGCCUUCUGGCCUUAACCUGACGCUGAGGAGCGAAAGCUAGGGGAGCAAACAGG